This 449-nucleotide ribosomal RNA is filed under the name uncultured bacterium. RNAcentral describes it as "bacterial SSU rRNA". It matches the Rfam family "Bacterial small subunit ribosomal RNA", at positions 328 to 794 of the family's 1533-position model. The record is from RNAcentral.
GUGCCAGACUCCUACGGGAGGCAGCAGUGGGGAAUAUUGCACAAUGGGGGGAACCCUGAUGCAGCGACGCCGCGUGGGUGAAGGAGCACCUCGGUGCGUAAAGCCCUAUCGGCAGGGAAGAAACAGACGGUACCUGACUAAGAAGCCCCGGCUAACUACGUGCCAGCAGCCGCGGUAAUACGUAGGGGGCGAGCGUUAUCCGGAUUCACUGGGUGUAAAGGGAGCGUAGACGGCCAUGCAAGCCAGGGGUGAAAGCCCGGGGCCCAACCCCGGGACUGCCCUUGGAACUGCAUGGCUGGAGUGCGGGAGGGGCAGGCGGAAUUCCUAGUGUAGCGGUGAAAUGCGUAGAUAUUAGGAGGAACACCGGCGGCGAAGGCGGCCUGCUGGACCGUAACUGACGUUGAGGCUCGAAAGCGUGGGGAGCAAACAGGAUUAGAUACCCCCGUACU